Molecule: transfer RNA, 72 nt
Filed under: Marmota monax (woodchuck)
Lineage: Eukaryota; Metazoa; Chordata; Mammalia; Rodentia; Sciuridae
Description: tRNA.Glu
Rfam family: tRNA (bases 3-64)
About the family: Transfer RNA (tRNA) molecules are approximately 80 nucleotides in length.
Source: RNAcentral
GUGGGGUUGUGGCUUAGUGGUAGAGCACUUGCCUCUCACGUGUGAGACCCUGAGUUCAUCCCCAGCACCACA